RNAcentral lists this ribosomal RNA (253 nucleotides) under uncultured bacterium. RNAcentral describes it as "partial 16S ribosomal RNA". It matches the Rfam family "Bacterial small subunit ribosomal RNA", at positions 524 to 776 of the family's 1533-position model. The record is from RNAcentral.
UACGUAGGGUGCGAGCGUUAAUCGGAAUUACUGGGCGUAAAGAGCUCGUAGGCGGUUUGUCGCGUCUGCUGUGAAAACUGGAGGCUCAACCUCCAGCCUGCAGUGGGUACGGGCAGACUAGAGUGCGGUAGGGGAGAUUGGAAUUCCUGGUGUAGCGGUGGAAUGCGCAGAUAUCAGGAGGAACACCGAUGGCGAAGGCAGAUCUCUGGGCCGUAACUGACGCUGAGGAGCGAAAGCAUGGGGAGCGGACAGG